Molecule: non-coding RNA, 1537 nt
Organism: Oryza sativa Japonica Group (Japanese rice)
Lineage: Eukaryota; Viridiplantae; Streptophyta; Magnoliopsida; Poales; Poaceae
Source: RefSeq, a predicted model, not a curated record
CUCUCUCUCUCUCUCUCGGCGUCGCUUCCCACCGACGCCGCCCAAAAUUCCGGCCGCCGCCUUCGAUUCCCGCGUGCCCACGCACGUGGCCGGCCGCCUGGGCGCCGCCAUCGCUACCCUCGGUCGUCGCUUGCCCCGACGACCACCGUGUCCGCGCUCGCCUUCAAACCGUCCCCAUCCUUUUUGCAGUCAUCGCCGGCGUCAUCCUCUCGGGCCCGGCGCCCCAUGCCGCGUGCAUCCAAAACCGUGAGGCGCGGCUCGUUCUCAUCCCUUUCCUCCCAAAACGGAAGGAGCAAAGCUCCCUUUCCUCCUCCUUUCGCUUUUUCCCUUCCCGGGUAGCGAGCUCCCUGCCUCAACUCCUUGGCUUCUUGCUCAAGAGGCAGAGCCGCUGACGCCGCUGCAGCACCUCGCCGCCCCCACCUUGACCGCGCCCGCUCGCCCGUGCCAACCCUCCCGCGCCCCGCGUUCAAUUCGCUCCGCCCGAUCCACCGCCUCCGCCGCCCAACGCAUCCACGCCGUCGCCGUUUUCGCGUCACCCACGAAAGCGUCGAUGCUGCUUGCGGUCGCUAGCCGAGCGCCAGCUCGCAUGCGCCCUCCUCGGUCCUCGCCUAUAAAUACCACCCCUUGAGCCCCAAUCCAUCCCCUUGGUCUCAUGCUCCUAGGAACGGAGCACCGCCGACUCCUUCGUCGCUGGCCGUCGCCGCCGCGACCAAGAACGUCUCUUCGCCGCCACUGGGCCGCCCCAUCCUCGCGCUCCCCUCUUCUUCCCCGGCCACGCCGUCUUGGCGCCGUGCCGCUCCCGUCGCGGUGAUCAUCUCGCCACGGGCGGACAACUCCAUCAGCCCGCCUCGGCGUCAAACCCGCCAGGACAUCCUUGCCGCCGGCAUCCCCUUUCUCGCUUCCGAGCCCUCAUCACCAACGCCGUCUCGCCUCGCCCGUCGAACUGCUGAAGAUGUGACCAAACUGAAAGCAGAGUAGAUUAAUCCGGUGCCAUGCUUGAGAAUACCAGCGUCGUGGUGAUGAUAUGAUUUAAUUGGCAGUGAUUGAUGAAGAGGAAAGGAUGGGUGGAGCGCAGGAUAUGAACGGCCUCUGUCGCUCCGUCUCCCAAGUAUGUGAGGAUUGCACGGUCCAGGACCAGGAAGCAAGCCGAUCGAAAUCCCCGUCAAUGCGUGGCUUCGCGGAGUGUGUCCAGCAGAGGUUUGCAGGAGUUCGGACGGGCUUGACAGGGCCUGCUAACCAACUUGGGCCUGAUUUCUGUGUCCAGCCGAGAAUAAGAUCUAACGGUGUUUGGCAUCUGACAAUAGAUUGAUCAGACGGCUCUACGGCUCUAAAGUCUCAAUGACGUGGCUUAACCUGGUGCUUCCUUUAUAGGAGCUAAUGUUGUAGUUGGUACCAACUAUAUAGGAAGAAGGGAUUAUAUUGCUUGUAAAAUAUUAUGCAUUGAUAGGAUUGCACUUAAUCUGUUUGCCCCGUCUACGAGGUAGACCGGUGGGCCUACCUAACUUGUUGCAUCUGAUCCUUCCAUUGUUAAUUGUUA